UGGAGUGGCAUCUUCCUCAUCGUGUUUCAAAGCAGUUCGGGGUACAACAACGCACCCCGCCGGAUUACGUCGAGACAAGUGUGAAGCUACAUAAGACAAACCGGCAAAGCAAUAAGACUGUCAUCAAUUGGGAGGAGCACCACAUUACUUGGGUGGACAUGUGGAAUGCUCAGAGACAACAUCGAGUUGAAAAUGAUGAAACACCAGACACUGACGAGGCGGCAUACUUAAGGCAUUUGGAGUGGAUGCGUACAGAGUACAGAGUUAUCCAUAAGGCUGCCUGGACUCGUUCCGAUUGCUUGGACUUACUGCCGAGUGAGGCUGCUGAUGCUGCAUUCAACAAUUCAAUUAGGGAGACAGUUGGAGCGCAUCUUGACUAUGGUCCUCUCCAUGACCGAGUGGGCACGGAGCUAUGGAGAUGUAUCAACGAGAGUAACGUGGUCCUUGCCCGUGCCCCAUGUCCACAAACGGAC
This is a long non-coding RNA of Hordeum vulgare subsp. vulgare (domesticated barley), 473 nucleotides long. RefSeq lists it as uncharacterized. NCBI's taxonomy places the organism in Eukaryota, Viridiplantae, Streptophyta, Magnoliopsida, Poales, Poaceae. The record is from RefSeq and is a predicted model, not a curated record. The transcript has 3 exons.